RNAcentral lists this unclassified non-coding RNA (3477 nucleotides) under Leishmania donovani. RNAcentral's name for it is "gene:LdHU3.30.3210(CDS-product:zinc-finger_protei n_conserved)". Lineage: Eukaryota; Euglenozoa; Kinetoplastea; Trypanosomatida; Trypanosomatidae. The record is from RNAcentral.
UGCGACAGCGCGUGCGAGGGUGUUUCGGCACUCAUCGGUUCGCAGGCUGCUUGCUCCCCCCCCCCAAACACACACCCCUCCCCUCCUUAACCCCACACAUACACAUCUAGUCAUGCACAUAGAAGAAAGCGGGAGAAGGUGAUUUGACUUUAUUACCCUCAUCUCUGCCGUCUUUCCCCAUUAGCGGCAGCGCACUCCUCGGAUCAGUGUACCCUGCCGCCAUCUUUUCUUGGGAGGAACCCGAGCGCCCUCCACCGCCGAUCUCCGCCGACCUUUUCCGUCGCGUGGCAUCUUUGUGCGACCCUCUUUUUUCGCCGGCGCACAUUCGCACACAUCUAGAAUCAUGCCCGCGCGUGUCAUCACAUGUGGUAUCUGCUUCAAUGUGCUCGAUCACCCGCUGACGUUCGACUGCCAGCACUCCUUCUGCACCGGCUGCGUCCGAAGACAACUUUCCGAGAAUGGUAGCAACGGCUUCCAGUGCCCGCUAUGCGCCACUUCCCACACCGAGGUACACUUGCACAAUCUCGCGCAGUACGCUGACCACGAGGCUGAGGUGUAUGUGGAAAUACUGGCGCGCGGCACGUCCAAUCCGCCGAAGUGCCAGUGGUGCGAGACGACGUCUGCCAAAGUGCAGUGUGGUGAGUGCAUGUGCGUGUACUGUGAGGACUGCUGCAUUGCUGUGCACAGGAACAGCGCCAAGCGUGAUCAUGCCAUUGGCAAGCUUAGCGAGUCGAGUCGAAACUUCAUGACACGAUGCCCGCUGCGUGGGCAUGAGGAAUACCGAGCCGAGUUUUUUUGCUCGCAGUGCCGGCAGGUGUGCUGCGCCUACUGCCUGCAGGUCGGGCCGCAUCGCGACCACCUCCAUGUGACGGUGGCGGUGGCCGCUGCAGAGGCGCGGCAGCAGCUGUCGCGUGACAUGGAAUCUCUCCUCGAGGUCAAGCACCGAUUAGAGCAACAGGCGGCGGAGAUGAAUCGCGUCUCGUUGCUCUACUCUGACACGUACGAUGCCGUCGAGAACAUGGUGACGGAGCGCUUCGAGGCGUUCAAGCAGCAGCUCAUGCAGCGCGAGUUGGAGGUGCGGCGCACCCUGACAAACCUUCGCGAUAGCGGUGAUGCCGCGCUGACGGCGUCGCGGCGGCAGUACCUCGACAAGCUGAACAGCGUCAACGAGACUCUCCUGCAGUUUCACACGAUUCAGAACGGCGGCACAGACGACGAGGUGCUGAAGCGUCACUCGCAGUUUGGCAAGUGCCUCAACACGGAUCUGCCCGCCGUGACGGGGAGCGGCUUCAAGGUGGUCAGCCUGGGCGAGAUGACGUUGACCAGCCUCGACAUUGGCUUAGAUUUGCAAACAAUAGAGCACAACCAUCCCACUUUAUCUAGACUGAACCGAUCCGGCAGGCUUAGCGCGGCGAGCAACAUGUCCAUGAAUGGCGGCGGCUCUGUCUCCCCCUUCGCCGGCAAUACCUUAUCGACACCCCUGCGACUCACCUUCCCCGUCGACGACGAUGUCGAGGCGACCGUUCUGGCAGAAGGAGUGCGACUGCGGUGCGUCGCCAGCGGCGGUGGCGAUACGCAAAUUGGCGUGCGCAGCAAAGAGAUGUUCCAAACACUUCUUGACCAGUUCCCAGAGGACCGCGGUGUGGUGUCGUGGCAGGUGCGCCUGGACUCCAUCUCGGACACCUUCAUUGGCGUGGUGGAAAAGACGUCGCAGUCCUCACAGGUGCCGGAGGGGUUCUACUGGAAGGCGGCCUGCGCCGACGUGGUUGACGGUCGAAUCGGCCGCUACACACCUGCCGUGCGCCGCCUCCCCGUGUGCCGCAACGGCGAUCGUAUUCGUUUCUUGUACGAUGGCGUGCAAGGCACCCUUCGAAUCGUCGUGAACGGCAGUGACGAUCGCGGCGUUGUGGUGGCCGACCUGCACCCCCGCAUCGCUGCUUGCUUUGUCUUUUACCCCGGCGAGUCCCUUACCAUCCUCUUCUAGGCAGGGUCGCCCACGAUGGGCGGGUGCAUAAUGUCCUGCGAGAUGACUUGAACACACUCGUCACGGCGGAGGAGAAGGGGACGACUACGGGCUCCCACGACUGGGGCGUUUGGCUCCAUGCGCCGUCUACCGUCACACAUCCUUGUGCGUGUGUGUGUGUUUCUUUUUUGGAGAGGUUGCGAUGGUGGUGACGUAGGGGGACAUGUGGCGAUUUCUGCUUGGCUGUCGUCAUGGAGUCCGUACCCAGGGUGACCGGUGGCUGGCGCGUUGCAAUGCGUUCUUGUUUGUUCGCUAUCGAUCUGUUUUUGUUGCUUCCUCUCUCCCUGCCCUCCCGUGGUGGGAGAAGGCGAACAAAAGUGUAGGCGUAAAACUGAACUGCCCCCCCCAUAUGCGACCGAUUCUCUUCCAUUCCUCCUGCACCUUCUCUUCUCUCUCUCACCGUUGUACAUCUUCCCUCUGUCCUCGCCGAGCGUCCUUAGGCGUUCUCUCGCUAUGUGGGCUGCCGUGCGGUGUAUCUCUGCGGGCAGCGCAAAAGCGAACCGAAGGAUGCAUUGCUUUCUCGGGAAGUGGACGUGGAAGGAAGCGCGUGAUCGGGGGAGAGGACGAGAUGGCGAGAUGGCGGGAGCGUUUCAAGGGGACGGGGAAGGGGGCGAGAACGAGGCAGCGCGGACACCGUCCGUAGAGGACCGUGUUGUUGACGGGUGUAACGUUGCUGCGUUUCCACAGCUCUUUUUUUGUCGCCUCUCGUUUUUCGUUGAUGUGCUUACUCACCAUAGACACAACUGCUGCCACUAGCGGGGCUUGUCCUUCUCCCUUGUGGACUGCCUAUUCUACCUCAGGACCGUGUGCUGGAGUGUGUGUGUGUGUGCGUGUGCGUGUGCGUGUGUGUGCGUUUUUUCGUUUUGUGUUUUUCCGUUUAUCAUGGACGUUGCUCAUCUACCCCGCCGUCUGCGGAGGACGAAAGGAGCGUGCCUACGACUCUCUUCUAUGCCCUCCUGCCCUCCCUACCCUGCCCUGCCUCCUCUUGCUGACCUGUGCAAAUUAGCAACGUACUCGCACGCUCAGCAAGGCGAACGAGCAUCAUGGUGAAGGAGAUGCUGAGAUGGUCUCCUACUGUGUACGAGCGUUUCACUCGACGCUCGGCCUUUGAGUUCACAGGAGGGGACGGGGGUAAAGGGAACUGGGGCGAGGGCGGAUUCUCGGGGUGCGUUUUGCGUCGAGGCGCGGUGGCCCCUGGUCUUGAGGGAAUCAUGAUGGUCCACGUUUGUCACCGGAUCACGGAUGCGAAAAGAGCAUCGCAGACAUCUUUUUUUUUUUCGCUCACGCGAUCUUUAGAGUACGGCUUGUGAUAAAGCCUGUCCUCGCUGGCCCCUGACAGCCUUGACUGCUCUGCUCCACUCUGACUUUCUCUCUCCGCCUCUUUCCCGCUUUUCUCGUUCCCUUGUGCGCUUCCUUAUCUUCCGCACCGACUCCAUACAUUCCGCCACCUGCAG